Molecule: non-coding RNA, 680 nt
Organism: Peromyscus maniculatus bairdii (prairie deer mouse)
Lineage: Eukaryota; Metazoa; Chordata; Mammalia; Rodentia; Cricetidae
Source: RefSeq, a predicted model, not a curated record
AGUGCAGAAAAGGUUUCCUAGGAGAGAUCCUUUUGUGUGGCAAUGUAAAUUGAGCUGAGAGUGCUAUGCGUCAUUUCUGGGUGACAUCUGCGGGUGAAGUCAGAAAAAGCCAGAGGCUACCUGCCGUGGAGGGAAAUGUUCUUCCACCACCAGAGGAAUUGAGGCAGCUUCCAAAGAUGGAACACACGCAGCUCCCUAAAACAGAGGUAAGGUCGUCCGCCAGAGUGUUUCCACUACACUCUGCCUCCUGAUCAACAAGCCUGAGACUGCCAUGUUCCAAAGGCAAAUGCUCCCGGGGCAUAUGCUGCCGGAUCGUGUUUGCAGGAAACUGUAGCCUGAACACACAGAGUUGCCAUGGAAGGAUCUGGACGACGAAGCAGGUUCUUUGCCACCUUGCCGCCUCCCAAUAGACUCUGCUGACGUCUGUUUGGGUCUUGAAAUUGUUUCUGCACCUCCACUCCAGUUCCAUGCUUUGUGUGCCUGCUGGGAUGUCUGGUUGUGAGCUCUGAAGCUCACUGUUCCUACUUGCAUCAACUUCCAUCUGUUACCUGCGUGUGGAUCCUGCUUCAUCUGGGAAAUAGUAUUGUUUGUACCCGCAGAUGAAUUUCUGGCAAGUGGAGACAGAAAUGCUAACGAUUCCUCAUUGUAGCUUCAGGGCCUGCCCUGUGAUGAGGGCUUGA